AUUUCAGCCACUUGUAUCUGAGAUCUCUAUAGACUGUAGCAGCGUCCACGUUGCUGCAGACGAGCCACCAAUCAGUCUACCUUCUCCAGCCUCAUCCUACCAUUACUUGUGGACAAGACGCCAAGAUACCAGAAUUCUUUCAAUUGAGACACAGACUAUCUCUUCGCAAGUGCUCUAUAUAUAAAGAUCAAGUUUCUCUCUGCUAAUGACCAACCAAUUUUGUUCAAAGACCAUGAUUUCUAUCAUUUUCAGUUUGUGUAAUCAGUGCUGUAUAUUUCUUUUUAAAUUUGUGACUAUGUGCACCUCUUGGCUGCUGGAAACAUUUUCAUUAGUUUAUCAGACUGGUUGAUGAUGUCACAUUCACCUGAUAAUAUAUUUACUGAUACAGCAAUGUUGAGCAUGCUUCCAACAACAUGAAAGCAGAGGAACACUGCACAAAAACCAA
Girardinichthys multiradiatus is the source of this 445-nucleotide long non-coding RNA. RefSeq lists it as uncharacterized. Lineage: Eukaryota; Metazoa; Chordata; Actinopteri; Cyprinodontiformes; Goodeidae. The record is from RefSeq and is a predicted model, not a curated record. The transcript has 2 exons.